This 397-nucleotide unclassified non-coding RNA is filed under the name uncultured fungus. RNAcentral's name for it is "partial contains small subunit ribosomal RNA, internal transcribed spacer 1, and 5.8S ribosomal RNA". The stretch from base 1 to 73 matches the Rfam family "Eukaryotic small subunit ribosomal RNA", at positions 1759 to 1831 of the family's 1831-position model. Lineage: Eukaryota; Fungi. The record is from RNAcentral.
UCAAACUUGGUCAUUUAGAGGAAGUAAAAGUCGUAACAAGGUUUCCGUAGGUGAACCUGCGGAAGGAUCAUCAAUAGUCCAAACUCUGUGUUUGGGUGUGUCGCGGUUCCUUUCUGCUUCCCCCAUUCACAAUCACCUUUGUGUGCACUGUUGUUAAUGUAAUGGUGGACUGGGAGUGCUGUUGUUGGGCACGGCAUGAUGAUGAUGAUGUCCGUUGUCUGGUACACCUUCCAGCCUGCCGUCAUUGCUAACACUUGACAAAACCAUGCUGAACAUUUAGCUUGUUGUUAUUGUUGUUUGAUGACUAUAUGUGACUCUCACAUAUGUCUCUUUCACAAAUAUCAUUACAACUUGCAGCGAUGGAUCUCUAGGCUCUGGCAUCGAUGAAGAACGCAGC